Molecule: ribosomal RNA, 240 nt
Filed under: uncultured bacterium
Lineage: Bacteria
Description: partial 16S ribosomal RNA
Rfam family: Bacterial small subunit ribosomal RNA
Source: RNAcentral
UUGAGUGGCGGACGGGUGAGUAACGCUUGGGAAUCUGCCUUUUAGUGGGGGACAACCCGGGGAAACUCGGGCUAAUACCGCAUACGCUCUACGGAGGAAAGCCGGGGACCGCAAGGCCUGGCGCUAAUAGAUGAGCCCAAGUCGGAUUAGCUAGUUGGUAGGGUAACGGCCUACCAAGGCGACAAUCCGUAGCUGGUCUGAGAGGACGACCAGCCACACCGGAACUGAGACACGGUCCGG